Molecule: small nucleolar RNA, 138 nt
Filed under: Ornithorhynchus anatinus (platypus)
Lineage: Eukaryota; Metazoa; Chordata; Mammalia; Monotremata; Ornithorhynchidae
Source: RNAcentral
CCCCUCUCAGGGUCUCACAUGGAGAGUUUCUAGUACUCUACCAGUCUCAGCUACAGGAGGGAGAGUCAAGCAGAGGCAUAUCCAUUCCAUUACUAGCUUGGACAGUGGCUAGCAAGUGGAAGGCAAUCUGCUACAAGU